GCCCCCAUAGCUCAGUGGAUAGAGUGCGGCCCUCCGGAGGCUGAGGCCCAGGUUCGAGUCCUGGUGGGGGCG
Molecule: transfer RNA, 72 nt
Filed under: Chloroflexota bacterium
Lineage: Bacteria; Bacillati; Chloroflexota
Description: Chloroflexi bacterium tRNA-Arg
Rfam family: tRNA
About the family: Transfer RNA (tRNA) molecules are approximately 80 nucleotides in length. Their secondary structure includes four short double-helical elements and three loops (D, anti-codon, and T loops).
Source: RNAcentral